GGUGUUGUGGAGAAAUUCCUGAAAUCAAUGGCACCAGGUCAGGAGGGAAGAAAGUGUUCAGGAGCCUCUGAUGUCUUCUGCUGUGAUAUUUAUUGAAGCUUGAUCAAGGAGAAUCAGAGACAUCCUCACAUCCAAUCAGACUUACUGGCUGUGGACUCUCAGAGACUCACUAUGAAGUCGUGGCCUCAGCUCUGAAGUCCAACCCCUCCCAUCUGACACACCUGGAUCUGACUAACAACGACCUGAAAGAUUCAGGAGUGAAGCUUCUGUCUGCUGGACUGGAGAGUCCAAACUGUAGACUGCAGACUCUGAGAGAGGUCCAAGGUUACAUUUCAGAGGAAGACAACAUUCAUGUCACUUUGCACAUUUGAUCCAGUUCUAAAGAUGAUUGAGGAUGAAGCUCACAGUCAGUCAGCUGUGUGCUGAUGGAGAUGACAGUGGUGAUGAGGAUAGUCUAAAUCUGUGCUGUGAAAUGAGAGCAUCACAAGUGCAGGAACACGUGUUAAAGAGGGUUAGAAAGGUUUGUUUGGACUUCAAUAAUCAGUUAUUUCAUUAAGUCUUAUUUAUUAAUUACAUGUUGCCUUUUUUGAACUCUAUAGAAAACAUCUGUCUCAGUAUUUUUCAUGAAAUUGUUGAAACAGGACAAAUGUCUGAUAAUGAUGUCUGAGGUCUUCUGUCUACUUGUUGAAGUAGAAAUAUUUCUUUGGUUUCUGUUGAUUUCAAUGUGUUUCCACAAAUAAUGUCUGAUCAUUGAUAUCAAUGUCUUUAUUUUGAUUUAUGUGAGACAUUUUAUAUAAGAAACUGAAUGAACAACACAUUUUUAUAAAUAAUGUCUUUUUAUGUUUUCAAACCUGAACACAUCUGAU
This is an RNA transcript of Larimichthys crocea (large yellow croaker), 866 nucleotides long. RefSeq lists it as uncharacterized. The record is from RefSeq and is a predicted model, not a curated record. The transcript is spliced from 3 exons. Lineage: Eukaryota; Metazoa; Chordata; Actinopteri; Sciaenidae.